AUUGAACGCUGGCGGCAUGCCUAACACAUGCAAGUCGAACGAGUGGCGGACGGGUGAGUAAUGUCUUGGAAACUGCCUGAUGGAGGGGGAUAACUACUGGAACCGGUAGCUAAUACUGCAUACCAUCAGAUGUGCCCAGGUGGGUGUAGAUAGUCUGUGGGGUACCGGAUCACCAAGACGACGUGCCCUAGCUGGUCUGAGAGGAUGACCGGCCACACGGGAACUGAGACACGAUCCAGACGCCGACGGGAGGAAGCAGUAGGGAAUAUUGGACAAUGGGGGAAAUCCUGAUGCAGCGCUGCCGCGUGUAGGAAGAAGGUCGUCGGGUUGUAAAGGACGUUCAGUGGGGAUGCGUUACCCGAAGAAGAAGCAACGGCUAACUCCGUGCCAGCAGCCGCGGUAAUAC
RNAcentral lists this ribosomal RNA (406 nucleotides) under uncultured bacterium. RNAcentral describes it as "partial 16S ribosomal RNA". It matches the Rfam family "Bacterial small subunit ribosomal RNA", at positions 30 to 526 of the family's 1533-position model. The record is from RNAcentral.